ACCUUCGUGGUGUAGUGGUCAGCACGCUCGACGCGUAACCGAGAGGUCCGUGGUUCGAUUCCCGGCGAAGGCA
Molecule: non-coding RNA, 73 nt
Organism: Stegodyphus mimosarum
Lineage: Eukaryota; Metazoa; Arthropoda; Arachnida; Araneae; Eresidae
Source: Rfam